GAUGAACGCUGGCGGCGUGCCUAAUACAUGCAAGUCGAGCGAACAGACGAGGAGCUUGCUCCUCUGACGUUAGCGGCGGACGGGUGAGUAACACGUGGAUAACCUACCUAUAAGACUGGGAUAACUUCGGGAAACCGGAGCUAAUACCGGAUAACAUGUUGAACCGCAUGGUUUAACAGUGAAAGACGGUCUUGCUGUCACUUAUAGAUGGAUCCGCGCCGCAUUAGCUAGUUGGUAAGGUAACGGCUUGCCAAGGCAACGAUGCGUAGCCGACCUGAGAGGGUGAUCGGCCACACUGGAACUGAGACACGGUCCAGACUCCUACGGGAGGCAGCAGUAGGGAAUCUUCCGCAAUGGGCGAAAGCCUGACGGAGCAACGCCGCGUGAGUGAAGAAGGUCUUCGGAUCGUAAAACUCUGUUAUUAGGGAAGAACAAAUGUGUAAGUAACUAUGCACGUCUUGACGGUACCUAAUCAGAAAGCCACGGCUAACUACGUG
This 497-nucleotide ribosomal RNA is filed under the name uncultured bacterium. RNAcentral's name for it is "partial 16S ribosomal RNA". It matches the Rfam family "Bacterial small subunit ribosomal RNA", at positions 28 to 507 of the family's 1533-position model. The record is from RNAcentral.